GGAAAAGAUCAAGAGCUGCAAAUGCUCCUGAAUACACACCAAGGCCAUGACAGGACCACAGAAUUUUGGAAGUUUUAGUCAUUGUCUCUGGAGAAGAUCAAUAGAAAAAGUGUUGUAUUUUAUGGCUGUCUUGAAGAGAAUUUCUGGACACCUGUUCUGGCAUGCUUCCACCCAUCUUUAAGGAAUGUGAUUCUCAGUUUGAACUGGUUAAAACUUUGAAGCUAGCAGGCAGUUGGGGACAGUGACUUUGUCCACAACAAAUCCUAUAUAUUAGUCAGCUCAGGCCACCAUAACGAGAUACCACAGACUAGGUGGUUUAUACAACAAACUUUAUUUUCUCUCAGUUUUGGAGGCUGGAAGUCCAAGAUCGAAAUUCCCUAGUGUUACUUUCCAGUAAGACCUUGCUCUUUCUGGCUUUCAGAUGGCUGUUUUCACAUUGUUUUCAUUUGUGUGUACAGAGAGAGAGAGAGAGAUCCUUGAUCUCUGGUGUUUCUGCCCCUUCUUAUAAGAAUACCAGACCUAUUGGAUCAAGACUUCACUCUUAUAAUCUCAUUUAAGCUCAGUUACCUCCUUAAUGGCCCUAUCUCCAAAUACAGUCACAUUGGGGGUUAAGACUUUAACAUGAAUUUGGGGUAGGAAGGACACAUUUCAGCCUAUAACAUUCUGGAUGGGAGCAUCAUGACUGUUGUGAUAGGUGCUUCCUGGCAUUAUGCUAAAAUAUGGACAUGCUGCUUUCCUCACUGCAACAUUCCUUUUUUAAUCAAAGUAAAAACUUUUCUAGAAAACAGAAAGCUGCACCCACCUUCCCCUCCAGAAGGAAACCAAGUUAUCAACUAUCUACAGAGAAAAAACACCUCCAUAAGAACUAAAUAUUAGGUGAGCACUCACUGUAUCUGGUGUUAACUUCAUAUCACAGAAAGGCACUGAAGAGAUAGAAAAAACAGUCCUGAAUCACAGACGCUACCCCUCCCCUACCACAGGUAGGGGAGACAUAGUGUGGAGAGUAUCUUUGGGUGCUGGAGAAGAAAGAACACAGCAAUUGUGAGGCAUCAAACUCCGUGCUGUUCUGCUAGAGCAGAAAGGAAAACCAGACCAAACUCAGCUGAUGCCCAUCCACAGAAGGAGCAUUUAAGCCAGCCCUAGCCAGAAGGAAAUCCCUGAUUCCAGUCGGCAGAACUUGAGUGCACGCAAAUCUUGCCACUGAGGGCCAAAGUGCUCUCAGUCUCUAAGUAAAUUUGACAGGCAAUGUAGGCCAUAAGCACUGUAACUCUUAGGUGAGUCCCAGGGCUAAACAAGGACCAGGGACAGUGGACUAGGGAGGCAAAUGGCAUUCUGAAAUACCAGAUGGGGCAGCCAAUGUAGUUCUGGCAUCACUCAUCCCCUAACCCAACGCUUCACAGCUCACGGCUCCAAAAAAGGCCCCUUCCUUCCACUUAAGGAGAGGAGAGGGAAGAGUGGGGAGGAAUUUGUCUGGUAUCUUGGAUACCAGCUCAGCCACAGCAGGAUAGGCACCUGUCAGACUCACAAGUUCCUGAUUCCAAAUCCUAGCUCCCAGACAACAUUUCUAGACACACCCUGGGCCAGAAAGGAACCCAUUGCCUUAAAAGGAAGAACCCAGCAUUCUGCCAGCAUUCAUCACCUGCUAACUGGAGAGCCUUUGGGCCCUGAAUAACCAGCAGCAAUACCCAGGUACUACACAGAGGGCCUUGGUAAGCCUCUGAGACAUGCAGGAUUCAGGUGAGACUCAGCACCCUACCAGCUGUCGGGGCUAUAGAGCAAAAUUCCUUCUGCAUCAAAAAAGCAGAGAGAAAAGUAAAGGGGACUUUAUCAUGCACCUUAGAUACCAACACCACCACAGGAAGACAGAGCACCAAGUGGGGUGCCUGAUUCCAGGACUUGACUCUUGGACACUAUUUCCAGACCUGCACUGGGCCAGAGAGGAGCCCACUACCCUGAAGAGUGAGUCCCAAGCCAGACAACAUUUAGCACAAGCUGACUUAAGAGACCUUGAGCCUUAAGAAAAUGUCAUUGGUAGACUGGCAGCACACCUCAUGGCCAGGGGUGGCAGUGGCUACAAAAUGAGGCAUCUCUGCUUUUGGAAACAGGAGGGAUGAGUGGAAAGGACUAUAUCUUAUGGUUUGAAUGCCAGCUCAGCUGCAACAAAAUGGAACACCAGGUAGACUUCUAAGGUUUUGACUCUAGACCCUGACUCCCAGACAGCACUUCUGGACCCACCCAGGGCCUGGGGGACCUUGUCAUCCUGAAGGGAAGGACAUAGGCCUGGAUGGCUUUGCCACCUGCUGAAUGUACAGCCCCAGGGCCUCGAGCAAACAUAGGCUGUAGCCAGGGAGUGAUUACUGCAGGCCUUGGGCAAGACCCAGUGCUGUGAUAGCUUAAGGUCUGACCCAGCAGAGUCACAGUGGUGGUGAACUCAAGGGUGGUUGUGCCAUUCCACCCCCAGCUUUAGGUGGCUCAGAACAGAGAGAGAGACCCUGUAUGUUUUGAAGAAAGUAAGAGAAGAGAACAAAGGUUUCUGCCUGGUAAUCCAGAUAAUUCUCCUGGAUCUUGUCCAAGACCAUGAAGGUGGUACCUCUGUGAGCCACAAGAACCACAGCACUGGGCUUAGGGUGCCUGCUAAAGCAGAAAUAGCUUAAAUCACAAUACCAAGUUAUUUCAAAUAUCUGGAAAGCCUUCCCAAGAAGGAUGGCUACAAAUAAGACCAGAGAGUGAAGACUAGAAUAAAUACCUAACUCUUCAAUGCACAGAUACCAAAGAACAUCUACUAGCAUCAACACCAUCCAGGAAAACAUGACCUCAUCAAAUGAACUAAAUAAGCCACCAGAGACGAAUCCUGGAGAAACAGAUAUGUGAGCUUUCAGACAGAGAAUUCAAAACAGAUGUGUUAAGGAAACAAAAAAUUUCAAAGGCAACACAGAGAAGGAAUUCAGAAUUUAUAAUUAAAAUUAAAAAGAAUCAAGUAGAAAUUUUUGAGCUGGAAAAUGCAAUUGGCAUACUGAAGAAUGCAUCAUAGUCCUUUAGUAGCAGAAUGCACCAAGCAGAAGAAAUAAUUAGUAAGCUUGGAGAAAGGCUAUUUGAAAAUACACAGAGAAGACAAAAGAAAAAGUAAUGAGAAACAAUGAAGCACACUUACAGAAGCUAUAAAAUAAACUCGAAAGGGCAAAUCUAAAAGAUAUUGGCCUAUAAGAAGAGGUAGAGGAAGAUAUAGGGUUAGAAAAUUUAUUCAAAAGCAUAGUAACAGAGAUCUUUCCAAACCCAGAAAAAGAUAUCAAUAUCCAAGUACAAGAAAAUUAUAGAACACCAAGAAGAUAUCUCAAAGCAUUUAAUAAUCAAACUCCCAAAGGUCAAGAAUAAAGAAAGGAUUCUAAAAGCAGCAAGAGAAAAGAAACAAAUGACACACAAUGGAGCUUCAAUACACCUGGCAGCAGGCUUUUCUGUGCAAACAUUACAGGCCAGGAGAAAAAGGCAUGACAUGUUUAAACUGCCAAAAGGAAAAAAAUAAAAUUUUACCCUAGAAUUGUAUAACUGGCAAAAAUGUCCUUCAGACACAAAGGAGAAAUAAAGACUUUCCCAGACAAACAAAAGCUAAGGGAUCUCAUCAAUACCAGAGCAGUCCUACAAGAAGUGCUAAAGAAAGUACAUCAAUCAGAAAGAAAAGUACAUUGAUGAGUAAUAAAUAAUCACCUGAAGGUACAAAACUUACUGGUAAUAGUAAGUACAGAGAAAAAUAAAGAAUACUAUAACACUGUAAUUGUGGUAUAUAAAUUACUCUUAUCCUAAGUAGAAAGACUUAAGGAAAAACCAGUCAAAAAUAAUGAAUACAACUUUUCAAGACACAGUCAGAACAAUAAGACACAAGUAGGAAUAACAAAAAGGUAAAAAGCAGGGAGAUGAGGUUAAGAAGAGUUUUUAUUUUUUUCUUUUUGCUUGCUUACUUACUUGUUUGUUUAUGCAAACAGUGUUAAGUUUUUAUCAAGUUAAAAUAAUGGGCUAUAAAAUAUUAUUUUCAGGACUCGCAGUAACUUCAAACCAAAUAAUAUACAAUAGAUACACAAAAAUAAAAAGAAAGAAACUAAAUAAUAUUACCAGAGAAAAUCAUCUUCAUUAAAACAAUGGAAGGAAGGAAAGAAAAAAGUAAGAGAAGGCCACAAAGCAACCAGAAAACACAUAACAAAGUGGCAUGAGUAAGUUCUUAUUAACAAUAAUAGUAUUCAAUGUAAAAAACUAAAUUCUCUAAUCAAAAGACAUACACUGGCUGAAUAAAUGAAAAAACAAGACCCAUUGAUCUAUUGCCUACAAGAAACACACUUCACCUAUGAAGACCCACAUAGACUGAAAAUAAAGAAAUAGAAAAAGAUAGUCCAUGCCAAUGGAAAGCAAAAAUGGGCAGGAGUCACGGUAUUUAUAUCAGACAAAAUAAAUUCCAAGACAAAAACUAUAAGAGGAGACAAACAAGGUCACUAUACAAUGAUAAAGGGGUCAGUUCAGUAAGAGGACAUAAAAAUUUUAAUAUAUAUCCACUCAACACUGAAGCACCCAGAUAUAAAAAGGAAAUAUUAGAGCCAAACAGAGAGGCCCCAAUACAUUAAUAGCUGGGGACCUUGACACUCUACUUUCAGCAUUGCACAGAUCUUCCAGACAAAGAAUCAACACAGAAACAUCAGAUUUGGUCUGCAAUACAAACCAAAUGGGACUAAUACAUGUUUACAAAACAUUUCAUCCAGUGGUUGCAGAAUACACAUUCUUUUCCUCAGCACAUGGAUCAUUCUCAAGGACAGAGCAUAUGUCAGGUCACAAAACAAAUCCUAAAACAUUCAAAGCAUUGAAAUAAUAUCAAGCAUCUUCUCUGCUUACAAUGGAAUAAAACUAGAGAUCAGUAACAAGAGGAAUUUUAGAAACGAUGCAAAUACAUGGAAAUUAAACAAUAUGCUCCUUAACGACCAGUGGAUCAAUGAAGAAAUUAUGAAGAAAAUUGAAAACAGAGAUAUAGAUCAAUGGAACAGAACAGAGCCCUCAGAAACAAUGCCGCAUAUCUACAACUAUCUGAUCUUUGACAAACCUGACAAAAACAAGC
Molecule: long non-coding RNA, 5092 nt
Filed under: Homo sapiens (human)
Lineage: Eukaryota; Metazoa; Chordata; Mammalia; Primates; Hominidae
Description: HSALNT0284537
Source: RNAcentral